UGCCAUCCGCCGCGGUAAUACAGAGGGUGCAAGCGUUAAUCGGAAUUACUGGGCGUAAAGCGCGCGUAGGUGGAUAUUUAAGUCGGAUGUGAAAGCCCCGGGCUCAACCUGGGAACUGCAUCCGAUACUGGAUGUCUAGAGUAUGGUAGAGGGAAGUGGAAUUUCAGGUGUAGCGGUGAAAUGCGUAGAUAUCUGAAGGAACACCAGUGGCGAAGGCGACUUCCUGGACCAAUACUGACACUGAGGUGCGAAAGCGUGGGGAGCAAACAGGAUUAGAUA
Molecule: ribosomal RNA, 279 nt
Filed under: uncultured bacterium
Lineage: Bacteria
Description: partial 16S ribosomal RNA
Rfam family: Bacterial small subunit ribosomal RNA
Source: RNAcentral